UACGGAGGGGGCUAGCGUUGUUCGGAAUUACUGGGCGUAAAGCGCACGUAGGCGGCUUUGCAAGUCAGAGGUGAAAGCCCGGGGCUCAACCCCGGAAUUGCCUUUGAGACUGCAUCGCUAGAAUUGUGGAGAGGUGAGUGGAAUUCCGAGUGUAGAGGUGAAAUUCGUAGAUAUUCGGAAGAACACCAGUGGCGAAGGCGACUCACUGGACACAUAUUGACGCUGAGGUGCGAAAGCGAUGGGGAGCAA
This 249-nucleotide ribosomal RNA is filed under the name uncultured bacterium. RNAcentral's name for it is "partial 16S ribosomal RNA". It matches the Rfam family "Bacterial small subunit ribosomal RNA", at positions 524 to 771 of the family's 1533-position model. The record is from RNAcentral.